Anguilla rostrata (American eel) is the source of this 777-nucleotide long non-coding RNA. RefSeq lists it as uncharacterized. The transcript has 2 exons. The record is from RefSeq and is a predicted model, not a curated record. NCBI's taxonomy places the organism in Eukaryota, Metazoa, Chordata, Actinopteri, Anguilliformes, Anguillidae.
UUCAAAUUGCCAUGGAUAAAAUGCACUUGAGUUCUCUGCCCAUAGGAUAUACCUGCCCAUACCAACACCGCACCACCACCACGGGCCACUCUGUUCACAACGUUGACAUCAGCAAACCGCUCACCCACCCAACGCCAUACAUGAUGCUGCCUGCCAUCUUCCCUGUACAGCUGAAACCGUGAUUCAUCAGUGAAGAGGACCGUUCUCCAGCAUGCCAGUGGCCAUCGAAGCUUGUCCCUGUGGCUGCCUCAGAUGAUCCCGCAGGUAAAGAAGUCGGAUGUGGCGGUCCUGGGCUGGCGUGGUUACACGUGGUCUGCGGUUGUGAGGCCUGUUGGACGAACUUCCAAAAUCUCUGAAACGACGCUGGAGGUGGCUUAUAGUGGAGAAAUGAACACCCAUUACUCUGGCAACAGCUCUACAGGACAUUGCUGCAGUAUCCAUGCCAAUUGCAUGAUCUCUUAACUCCUGAGGCAUCUGUGACAUGGUGUUGAACAACAAAAAAACUCAACAUUUUAGGGUGGCCAUCAUAUGGAACACCUGUGUAGUGAUCAUGGCUUUUAAUCAGAAUCUUGAUAUGCCACACCUGUGCAGAAGAUGGAUUAUCCUGACACAGGAGAAAUGCUGGCUAACAGUGAUGUAAACAAAUCCGUGGGCAAAAUCUGAGAGAAAUAAAAUCUUUGUGCACAUAAAACAAAUCUUUGAGCAAUUAUUUAAAUGCAUAAAAAAUGGCUGCAAAAAUAAAAGUGUUGCGUUUAUAUUUUUGUUCAGUAUAAAUUU